GAUGAACGCUAGCGGCAGGCUUAACACAUGCAAGUCGAGGGGUAUAGUUCUUCGGAAUUAGAGACCGGCGCACGGGUGCGUAACGCGUAUGCAAUCUACCUUUCACAGAGGGAUAGCCCAGAGAAAUUUGGAUUAAUACCUCAUAGUAUAGUACUUUGGCAUCAAGGAACUAUUAAAGUCACAACGGCAAAAGAUGAGCAUGNGUCCCAUUAGCUAGUUGGUAAGGUAACGGCUUACCAAGGCUACGAUGGGUAGGGGUCCUGAGAGGGAGAUCCCCCACACUGGUACUGAGACACGGACCAGACUCCUACGGGAGGCAGCAGUGGGGAAUAUUGGACAAUGGGCGAAAGCCUGAUCCAGCAAUGCCGCGUGAGUGAUGAAGGCUCGG
This 388-nucleotide ribosomal RNA is filed under the name uncultured bacterium. Its description in RNAcentral is "bacterial SSU rRNA". It matches the Rfam family "Bacterial small subunit ribosomal RNA", at positions 28 to 419 of the family's 1533-position model. The record is from RNAcentral.